This 405-nucleotide ribosomal RNA is filed under the name uncultured bacterium. RNAcentral's name for it is "bacterial SSU rRNA". It matches the Rfam family "Bacterial small subunit ribosomal RNA", at positions 355 to 775 of the family's 1533-position model. The record is from RNAcentral.
UGGGGAAUAUUGGGCAAUGGGGGAAACCCUGACCCAGCAACGCCGCGUGAGUGAAGAAGGCCUUCGGGUUGUAAAGCUCUGUCAUUAGGGAAGAAGAAGUGACGGUACCUAAUGAGGAAGCCCCGGCUAACUACGUGCCAGCAGCCGCGGUAAUACGUAGGGGGCGAGCGUUGUCCGGAAUUACUGGGCGUAAAGGGUGCGUAGGCGGCGUGUUAAGUUGGAUGUGAAAUACCCGGGCUUAACCUGGGGGGUGCAUUCGAUACUGGCAGGCUAGAGUGCAGGAGAGGGAAGCGGAAUUCCUAGUGUAGCGGUGAAAUGCGUAGAUAUUAGGAGGAACACCAGUGGCGAAGGCGGCUUUCUGGACUGUAACUGACGCUGAUGCACGAAAGCGUGGGGAGCAAACAG